RNAcentral lists this ribosomal RNA (301 nucleotides) under uncultured bacterium. RNAcentral's name for it is "partial 16S ribosomal RNA". It matches the Rfam family "Bacterial small subunit ribosomal RNA", at positions 509 to 807 of the family's 1533-position model. The record is from RNAcentral.
CAGUCGCCACGGGAAUACAGAGGGUGCGAGCGUUAAUCGGAUUUACUGGGCGUAAAGCGUGCGUAGGCGGCUUCUUAAGUCGGAUGUGAAAUCCCUGAGCUUAACUUAGGAAUUGCAUUCGAUACUGGGAAGCUAGAGUAUGGGAGAGGAUGGUAGAAUUCCAGGUGUAGCAGUGAAAUGCGUAGAGAUCGGAAGGAACAUCUGUGGCGAAGGCGACUAUCUGGGCCAACACUGACACUGAGGCACGAAAGCGUGGGGAGCAAACAGGAUUAGAUACCCCCGUAGUCCCUGUCUCUUAUAC